This 75-nucleotide transfer RNA is filed under the name Cordylochernes scorpioides. Its description in RNAcentral is "tRNA-Thr". It matches the Rfam family "tRNA". From Rfam's summary of the family: Transfer RNA (tRNA) molecules are approximately 80 nucleotides in length. Their secondary structure includes four short double-helical elements and three loops (D, anti-codon, and T loops). Further hydrogen bonds mediate the characteristic L-shaped molecular structure. tRNAs have two regions of fundamental functional importance: the anti-codon, which is responsible for specific mRNA codon recognition, and the 3' end, to which the tRNAs corresponding amino acid is attached (by aminoacyl-tRNA synthetases). tRNAs cope with the degeneracy of the genetic code in two manners: having more than one tRNA (with a specific anti-codon) for a particular amino acid; and 'wobble' base-pairing, i.e. permitting non-standard base-pairing at the 3rd anti-codon position. The record is from RNAcentral. Lineage: Eukaryota; Metazoa; Arthropoda; Arachnida; Pseudoscorpiones; Chernetidae.
GUUCAGUGUAUCCUAGUGGACAUGGCAUCUGCCCGGUAAGCGGAACACUGUGGGUUCGAUUCCCACCCCUGGACA